Molecule: long non-coding RNA, 650 nt
Filed under: Rattus norvegicus (Norway rat)
Lineage: Eukaryota; Metazoa; Chordata; Mammalia; Rodentia; Muridae
Description: long non-coding RNA NONRATT025059
Source: RNAcentral
GAAACCGCCCAGAGGAGAAUUGAUGGAGGGCCCAGGUCCCUGUGGUGCACAGGGAGAUGCCAUGUCCUGCCUCCACACCACCCAGCUUCAGAACAUGCAUCUGAUUUGCUUUGCUGCUCACUCCGGCCCCUGUGCACUCACAGCCACACACGUACUGCCUGGUCCUUUAUGGCUGUACACCUGCCGCAGUAGGGGCCAGCAAAGAGGAAGACGCAUCUGCUCAGCGGGCUCUCUCCAUGGCUGGGCAGGCUGCUGAUCUUUCCUGGGAGCACUGCAGGGAGGAGCCCUGGGGCAUGAACCCUGGUCUCAGGCUCCCUGGGGAAGGGCUUGGCCUCGGCUGGGAAUGAUUGGGGUUUAUCAUUGCCAUUAGGAGGGACACCUCCAGGUCAACUAGUCUUUGCACUGGAAAAAUUUCAGAAAUGCCCCUGGCUCCCUUGAUGAGUUUCUCUUAUUUUUCUGUGUGCAUCCUUCCCUGUGUUGGCUCAGGCAUGGGAAUCUCAGGGGAAGGAAGGCAUGUUUCUACUGUGGAGAGUGAGGUUGGUUACCUCAGGGCCGAUGGGGCUUAGCCUGGAAGCAAUCACUGUCUUCCACCCUUCCUCACUGUGGUGAGGACUCAAUUAAAGUGGCACCUGGCACACGUAAAAAAAAAA